UGAGUCCCUUUAGUUCUGCCUGGAUGUACAUAGUAACGUCUGCUGGAGUGUGGGUGGCCUAUCAGGGGCUGCAUCCUUGAAGAACAUUGACUCUACCUCCCCAGCAGCCAUCAACUGCCUGCAGGAGCUCCUCAGCUAAGGGAGCUGCAAGAUGGCUCAGUGAGUCAAAGUGUUUGCUGCUGAGCCCGGUAACUUCUGACCUCUGACACAGCACAGUGGCAUGCAUGCACCCCUACACACAGGUUUGUCCACACCCCAGAGGCUCCACACAGCUGUCUGCAAGGCGGAGAGUGGGGGAAGCCAGUACCUGCUCUGUCUAGGAAGCUGCAGCGGCCAGGAAUGCUGCCCCCUUCAGGCUGAGGGCUGGAAGCUCUCUGGAAAGUCUCCGGUUUGAGCCCAGGCUCAAAGGCUGGAGAAGUUGGACCCUGACGUCCACGAGGUUGCCAGCUUCUUCGUUUUUAUUUUCAUCAUUGUCCCUGACGUGUGUGGUGACGUCAUGCUUAGGUGAGUCAGCUGAGAGAAGUCUGGACCAUUACGUCGUGACCAGGACCCAUCUAGAACACUGGGUAACCAUGGAGCAGCACCUGACACUGAGUGGAAACUUACUCGGGCUCAGCUGAGAGGCACGGAGCUUGCCUAGAGAAGACAUGGGUUUCACCCCCAGUGAUACAAAUAAAGCCACAAAAUACAAAUAAACUUAAGUCAACUGAAAACAGACAAACAAAAAUCAACAAAACCAGAAAAUGUCCAAAAACCUGAACCCGAGUCCCACUGUGCCUCCCAACAGUCUGUUUGCUUUGGGGCUGCAAUGCUGUACUCAGCGCGAGGGAAAUUCGAUAAAAUUUUCACCUUUCUCCCUGACCUUAAUUAGCCCUGCAGAAUAUGAGUGUAAAUAUAAUAAUAAUAGAUGUAUGUAGAAUAUAACGGUAUGUAAAAGUUGGCAUGCUCAUGACAUAUCUUCACAGCACCAGAACACGGACUGAGACAGAGGUAACUCCUGUUAGCUUCUACAUC
RNAcentral lists this long non-coding RNA (1014 nucleotides) under Cricetulus griseus (Chinese hamster). RNAcentral's name for it is "lncRNA (ENSCGRG00015036059.1)". Lineage: Eukaryota; Metazoa; Chordata; Mammalia; Rodentia; Cricetidae. The record is from RNAcentral.